Molecule: transfer RNA, 74 nt
Filed under: Bacteriophage sp.
Description: tRNA-Lys
Rfam family: tRNA
About the family: Transfer RNA (tRNA) molecules are approximately 80 nucleotides in length. Their secondary structure includes four short double-helical elements and three loops (D, anti-codon, and T loops).
Source: RNAcentral
GACUCCGUAGCUCAGUUGGUUAGAGCACCGCACUUUUAAUGCGGGGGUCCUGAGUUCGAAUCUCAGCGGAGUCA